UUGACAGCCAAGUUGUUGACAAUUUGCUUCCACGGUGAAAAUCUCCUUGUCCUUAUUGGUGUCGCAGGGGAAAAGAAAGUAUUUCAACGGAGUGCAUGGGACGUGAUGCAGCUCAACACAGAUUGUAAUGGAGGACGAUGCUAAGGAGAGGAGGAUGGAACAUGCUGACAGUCACGGUGUGCGGCCUCACCAUGGAAAAUUACAUUGAAAGUUCCUGCUGAAUGGGCCAUGCUAAACGUACAGCUCAGCUACAGCACGACGAUGAACAGCCACAUUACAGGUGUAACUAAAGAACCAAUGUGACCGCAACAAAGAGCUGCACCGUGGAUUGCUUGGCCCAAAGCCUAUUCAGCUGCUGACAGCCUUGGCUGGACCCUGGACAAUGUCAUUCAUCUUCCACUCCCCCCCCCCAAAACUUAUGCAUCACGAUUCAAUGCGCAUCACGAUACACAUGCCACAAUGCCAUACGAUCUCGAUGCAUUGCGAUACAUGUAUUCUUGCAAUGCAUUGUGAUAUUUACUUAAUUCAUUUUUUUUACCUUUACCAACAUUAUACAAUAAAAAUAAAAACCAUGAUAGUUCAUUCGUAGAAAAGGGUGCAAAAGGUUAAUAAUAACGUUUCAAAAUAAUAAUGAUGAUUUGAAGCCUGGGAGCACUAUCACAAUAUCAUGUGGUUGUUUUCUUGACUGAAGGGUAACAGAACUUUGAAAGGACACACCACGAUACUGCGCCCUUGCAUAGCGCUUCAGUAUCAUGAAUGUGUGAUUCAAUAUCUUCAGUCUACCUGCAAGCGUCAUUUAGUUAAGAAAAUUAGGAUUCCAGUCUCUUCUAUUAAAUGAUUUACCUCUGCCUCAAGGUUAACCAAACCUGGUUUACUACUGUGCCAGCUUCUUAGUAUACCCACCUGUUGUAGAGUCAGCACUGUUGAUGUUCUUUGACUGAAGAUUCCAAAACGUGUGUGUGUGUGUGUGUGUGUGUGUGUGUGUGUGUGUGUGUGUGUGUGUGUGUGUGUGUGUGUGUGUGAGAGAGAGAUACACAAGUAACAACUCCAGUAGAACACCUUUUCCUCCAUGUUGGACUAUUAUUGAAGGAAUACUCUAUGCACUGCAACAUUGGAGAAAUUUAAGGACACUGGGAUGACCAUGAGGUCUACCCCCAAGUUAUUUGAUCUUAACACUUUUGUGUUGUCGGUUUACUGUGUACUGUACAGUAUUGUGGAUGGGAGCUUUUUCUCUUGCAAUAUUAUAACUUGUGUUUGCUGCUGUACACCAUUAUUUCCUUCUGCAUUAUUAAAGUUAAUCGAAUCUAUUCUA
This is a long non-coding RNA of Engraulis encrasicolus (European anchovy), 1312 nucleotides long. RefSeq lists it as uncharacterized. The transcript is spliced from 5 exons. The record is from RefSeq and is a predicted model, not a curated record. Lineage: Eukaryota; Metazoa; Chordata; Actinopteri; Clupeiformes; Engraulidae.